RNA transcript from Nicotiana tabacum (common tobacco), 3373 nucleotides. It is a transcript of the gene named putative late blight resistance protein homolog R1A-3, with no coding region annotated. The record is from RefSeq and is a predicted model, not a curated record. NCBI's taxonomy places the organism in Eukaryota, Viridiplantae, Streptophyta, Magnoliopsida, Solanales, Solanaceae.
AACGUUUCCACGGCCGGAGGGGGUGCAUAUUAGUUAAUUCACAUCAACUUGAGAGUUGAGAUAUAUAAUCUCUUCCAUAUCAUCCUCACUCAAUAUAUACAGAGAGCUAUCGUAAAUUAAGAUGUCAAGGUUAUAAGAAAGUAGUUAGUAUACAUCGUAUUCAUUUUGUUGCAUAUAUCCAUCCAAGUAAAGAUAAUUAAAUGGAACAUAUCUUGGUGAAAUCUCUGUUGGAGAAAUUGUUGAAGCUGUCACGUGAAGAUGCGAAUUUGAUCGCAGGUGCAGAGACUGAAUUUCGACUUCUCCGCGAACUAGUUGAACUAGUUAACGCCUGCCUUAUCGAAGUUGCAGAAAUGAGAAGGACGCAUCAAUUGAGAGAAGAUUUGAGCAUGCGCAUUAUAACUGCAGUAUAUAGAUGUGAGGACGGCAUUGAUAACUUCCUGGUUCACCAACUGAAAAAUAAAUGGCCAAAAUUCGUAGAUUCUGACCGCGGGAGAAGAAUAAUCGAGAAUCUUUUGGUAAAGAUCGAUGGCCUCCUUGACACGAUGAUGCCACAAUCUUCCGCCAGAGCACAAUCUCUUCCGUCCAGCCAAAAAUAUAUUCUGAUUUCAAAUACCCUGCGUGAUGUCAAGCCUACCAAGGUGCUUGAGCGUUGGAUGAUUGAGAUUAAGCAAUCUAACCCUUUCCAUUACGUUCCAAGAGAGAUGGAGGGUCCUGAGUCAGAGGAUGACGAAGUGAUCGGCUUUGAUGAGGAAGCAGAAGUAGUGAUCAAACGACUUCUUGGAGGAUCAGGCGGCUAUCAUGAUGUAAUUGUUCCUAUUGUGGGUGUGGUUGGACAGGGCAAAAGCACACUGGCAAGAAAAAUAUAUCAUGAUACUCGAAUGUCGCAUGAAUUUUUCAGCUGCUAUUGGAUUACCGUCGGCCAUUUAGGUAAGGUGAAGGAUAUUUGUCUUUCUUUUCUCAAAGGGCUGAUCACCACAAGACGCUGGGAACAAUAUGAAGAUAUGAAUGAAAAUGAAUUAGAGAAGAUAAUACUUGGUAUUUUGGAAGAAGAAAGUAGACGUCUCAUUGUCUUGGACGAUGUGCGGACCACUGAUGUUGUUGAUUUCUUCAGAAGGAUUUUUGGAAAAGAUGGGAAAGGUCACCGUAUCCUGAUGACCACUCGCCAUGUGGCUAUUUCUCAAUAUGCCAAUUCACAUCCUCAUUAUCUGAAAUUUCUGACUCCAGACGAAAGUUUUGAGUUGUUAAAAAUGAAAGUUUUCGGCCGGAGAAGUUGUCCUGAUGAGUUAAUCGAACUUGGAAAAAGAAUGGCAAAAAAAUGUAGAGGAAUACCGAUUUUGGUAGUGAUAAUUGCAGGAGCAUUAAGAGGUUGGAGGAGCCAAAUAGAAUGGCAAAUAUUCGAGGAAAAUAUGGUGGGACCUGAGAUGAAUGACGAUGACAGUACAACCAUGUAUAAAUUUCUAAACCUGAUUUACGAUCAUUUGACUGAGGAAAUGAAGUUGCGCUUCUUGUAUUUCAACAUCUUUCCGCGAGGAUUUGAUAUCCCAGCUUGGAAAUUGAUCCGCUUAUGGAUUGCUGAGUGCUUAAUAGAGUACAACCCAUCGUCAUCGCUUGAGGAGAGAGCAGAAAAAUGUUUGAAAAGCCUCGUCGAUAGGAAUCUAGUAAUGGUGAUCCAAAAAAGCUCUUGUGGUCAUAUAAAAACAUGUCGUGUUCAUGACCUUUGGCACGACUUUUGCAAAGAGGAGGCCAAAAGAUGGUCUUUUCAACAAGUAUCUGAAGAUAUUGGCAGUAGAAUACCAGAGACUACUCGUCAAUUGUGUGUUCAAUCCUCUGUUCUGAAUGAUUUUCUCUCCAGAAAGCCAUUUGGAGAGCAUCUUAGAUCUUUUUACUGUUUUACCUCAAAACAAAGUCAAGUGAGGAGGUCGCUAAGUGACAUCAAACACAUCACCAAAGCCUUUCCAUUGCUUAGGGUUUUGGACUUUGACUCCGGCCAUCUUGUUUUCUCCAAAGAGUUUCUCCAAUUAUUUCUAUUGAGAUAUAUUGCUAUCUCAGGUGACUUCAAGGUUAUUCCUGAACCCUUGGGUAAAUUCUUAUAUUUACAAACUCUUAUACUUAAUACAUCAAAUUCCACCCUUGAGAUAAAAGCAAACAUAUGGAAGUUGUUGCGGUUGAGGCAUCUUCACACCAACGUCCCUGCAGAAUUGCCGCCACCUCCUAUCCCAACAGGUGAACCUUCUUGCCUACAAACUCUUUCUCUGAUUACACCGAAAAGUUGCACGAAAGAUGUCUUUGCAAAAGCUUGUAAUCUAAAAAAGUUGGGUAUCCGAGGGAAUAUGGAGGCUUUCCUUGAAACUAGCAAGGGUGGAUGGCGAAAUCUUGGAGAGCUAAAGUGCCUGGAACGUUUGAUGAUAUACAAUGAUGGUUCUAAUUACUCGAGUAAACCUCAUCUUCCUCCAUCAUUCUUCAAGAUUCGACGCACACUGAAGAAGUUAACUCUGUCUAAGACGAUGUUUGAUUGGAGCGAGGCAGAUAUAUUGGGGCAGUUGGAAUGCCUCGAGGUCCUGAAAUUGAAAGAAAAUGCAUUCAAGGGGAUGUCCUGGGAAGUGGAGCGAGGUGCUUUUAAUAACCUCCAGGUCUUAUGGAUUGAAGGGGCAGACUUGAAAAAUUGGGAGGCUUCAGAAUAUCAUUUCCCAAAACUUAGGCACCUUGUUCUUAAAUUUUGUGAAAAUCUUCAAGCAGUGCCAUAUGAGCUGGCUGAUGUUCCUAGCUUUGAAGAGAUGAAGCUGGAGAACACAAGAAAAGCAGCUGAGUCAGCGAGAGAAAUACAGCGCAGGAAACUCAUGAAAAGCAUCAAAUUCAAGCUCACGUUAUCGCCCCCUGAUACUGAAUAGAUGGUCACAUCCAGUUGAAAGGGUAUAUCGGAAACAACCUCUCUACUCCCUCGGGUAGUGAUAAGGAGAGAUCGAGGUAUGAUGAUGCUGGGAGCUAGGAUCAUGGACAAAUAGAGUACUCUUUGAUAUUGUUGAAAGACAUGUUAUUCCGUUUUUUUUCUUGCUUUGACAUAAAAGACAUGUCAUUCCAACUAGAUAAACUAUUAUACAAGCAGGGGCGGAUUUAGCCGAACCCCCUUCGUCGAAAAAUUAUACUGUAUAUAUAAGCCAAAAUCUGUUUCUUAUCUCUAUAUAUUAAGUUUUGAAUCCCCUUGACACAACCCAAAAAUAUAGCUUAGUGAUCAAUAGAUCAUAGGUUCAAUUCCCAUUAGUUAUAAUCCUUUCUAACUUUUUUCUUUUUGAACUGCUUAGCUGAGAUCCUCCUUCCGCCACUGUAUACAAGUCUUGUUUGUUUCUCAUUAUUUUGAAUGGACAGUUUCAGUCAA